GACAGAGGGUGCAAACGUUGUUCGGAAUUACUGGGCGUAAAGCGAGUGUAGGCGGUCCGAUAAGUCGGGUGUGAAAGCCCUGGGCUCAACCCAGGAAGUGCACUCGAAACUGCUGGGCUAGAGUAUCGGAGAGGUUGGUGGAAUUCUCGGUGUAGAGGUGAAAUUCGUAGAUAUCGAGAGGAACACCGGUGGCGAAGGCGGCCAACUGGACGAAUACUGACGCUGAGACUCGAAAGCGUGGGGAGCAAACAGG
RNAcentral lists this ribosomal RNA (253 nucleotides) under uncultured bacterium. RNAcentral describes it as "partial 16S ribosomal RNA". It matches the Rfam family "Bacterial small subunit ribosomal RNA", at positions 524 to 776 of the family's 1533-position model. The record is from RNAcentral.